CCGCGCAUGCGCGCAAUGAAAGGCGCACCUGGUUCGUUGUCGGCCUGACCCUCACGAUGAUGACCGGCGAGAUUAUCGGCGGCACGGUUUUCGGUUCGAUGGCGCUGGUUGCCCAGGGGUGGGCCACGUCUUACCCCCUGCUGCGGCCAUCGGCAUUUCGGCGCUGGCCUAUCGAUACGCACGGCGUCACAUGCACGACCCGAGAUUUGCGUUCGGCACCGGCAAGCUCGGAGAGCUCGCCGCGUUCGCCAG
Molecule: unclassified non-coding RNA, 252 nt
Filed under: Hevea brasiliensis (rubber tree)
Lineage: Eukaryota; Viridiplantae; Streptophyta; Magnoliopsida; Malpighiales; Euphorbiaceae
Source: RNAcentral